This 253-nucleotide ribosomal RNA is filed under the name uncultured bacterium. RNAcentral describes it as "partial 16S ribosomal RNA". It matches the Rfam family "Bacterial small subunit ribosomal RNA", at positions 524 to 776 of the family's 1533-position model. The record is from RNAcentral.
UACGUAGGGGGCGAGCGUUGUCCGGUUUUAUUGGGCGUAAAGAGCGCGUAGGCGGCCGAGCAGGUCCGUUGUGAAAACUGAAGGCUCAACCUUCAGAGGUCGAUGGAAACCGUUCGGCUAGAGUCCGGAAGAGGAGAGUGGAAUUCCUGGUGUAGCGGUGAAAUGCGCAGAUAUCAGGAAGAACACCCGUGGCGAAAGCGGCUCUCUGGGACGGUACUGACGCUGAGACGCGAAAGCGUGGGGAUCGAACAGG